GACGAACGCUGGCGGCGUGCUUAAUACAUGCAAGUCAACGACUUUUAAAGAUAGCAAUAUUUUAAGGGGAGUGGCGCACGGGUGAGUAACACGUAGGCAAUCUACCUUUAGGACUGACACAACUCGUCGAAAGACGGGCUAAUAUCAGAUAAUGCAGCGGCUCCGCAUGGAGACAGUUGUUAAAGUACAAGCGCCUGAAGAUGAGCCUGCGGUCCAUUAGCUAGUUGGUAGAGUAACGGCCUACCAAGGCAACGAUGGAUAGCUGGUCUGAGAGGAUGAUCAGCCAUACUGGAACUGAGACACGGUCCAGACUCCUACGGGAGCAGCAGUAAGGAAU
This 337-nucleotide ribosomal RNA is filed under the name uncultured bacterium. RNAcentral's name for it is "bacterial SSU rRNA". It matches the Rfam family "Bacterial small subunit ribosomal RNA", at positions 28 to 362 of the family's 1533-position model. The record is from RNAcentral.